AGAGUUUGAUCCUGGCUCAGGAUGAACGCUGGCGGCGUGCCUUAUACAUGCAAGUUGAGCGGUAACAGUUCCUCACUUUUCUUUUGAAUCUUAAGUAUUCGAAGGCGAAGUGAGGAAGCUGACGAGCGGCGAACGGGUGAGUAAUACGUAGGAACCUGCCUCAAAGUGAGGGAUAACCUAUCGAAAGGUAGGCUAAUACCGCAUAUGGUCUUUAGAUUAAAGCCUUCGGGCGCUUUGAGAAGGGCCUGCGCAAGAUUAGUUUGUUGGUGAGGUAAUGGCUCACCAAGACGAUGAUCUUUAGCUGGUUUGAGAGGAUGAUCAGCCACACUGGAACUGAGAUACGGUCCAGACUCCUACGGGAGGCAGCAGUAGGGAAUAUUCCACAAUGGGCGAAAGCCUGAUGGAGCAACGCCGCGUGCAGGAUUAAGGCCUUCGGGUUGUAAACUGCUUUUAUAUGUGAAGAAUAUGACGGUAGCAUAUGAAUAAGCCUCGGCUAACUCCGUGCCAGCAGCCGCGGUCAUACGGAGGAGGCAAGCGUUAUCCGGAUUUACUGGGCGUAAAGAGUUGCGUAGGCGGUUUUGUAAGCAAAUAGUGAAAUCAUGUGGCUCAACCAUACUGACUAUUAUUUGAACUGCAGAACUUGAGAGCGAGAGGGGUGAUUGGAAUUCCCGGUGUAGGAGUGAAAUCCGUAGAUAUCGGGAGGAACACCAAUGGCGUANGCAGAUCACUGGCUCGUUUCUGACGCUAAGGCACGAAAGCGUGGGUAGCAAACGGGAUUAGAUACCCCGGUAGU
This 793-nucleotide ribosomal RNA is filed under the name uncultured bacterium. RNAcentral describes it as "bacterial SSU rRNA". It matches the Rfam family "Bacterial small subunit ribosomal RNA", at positions 8 to 794 of the family's 1533-position model. The record is from RNAcentral.